AGAACGAACGCUGGCGGUGUGCUUAACACAUGCAAGUCGAACGGGCAAGAGCUGUAGCAAUACAGAAUCUGCUAGUGGCAGACGGGUGAGUAAUACAUGGGAAUCUACCGUGCAGUGCGAAAUAACAGUUGGAAGCAAUUGCUAAUGUCGCAUAUAGCCGAGAGGUGAAAGAUUUAUCGCUGCAAGACGAGCCCAUGCAGGAUUAGCUAGUUGGGGGGGUAAUGGCUC
RNAcentral lists this ribosomal RNA (228 nucleotides) under Rickettsiales bacterium IB-1. RNAcentral describes it as "partial 16S ribosomal RNA". It matches the Rfam family "Bacterial small subunit ribosomal RNA", at positions 26 to 266 of the family's 1533-position model. Lineage: Bacteria; Pseudomonadati; Pseudomonadota; Alphaproteobacteria; Rickettsiales. The record is from RNAcentral.